Molecule: ribosomal RNA, 497 nt
Filed under: uncultured bacterium
Lineage: Bacteria
Description: partial 16S ribosomal RNA
Rfam family: Bacterial small subunit ribosomal RNA
Source: RNAcentral
GAUGAACGCUGGCGGCGUGCCUAAUACAUGCAAGUCGAGCGAACAGAUUAGGAGCUUGCUCCUCUGACGUUAGCGGCGGACGGGUGAGUAACACGUGGAUAACCUACCUAUAAGACUGGGAUAACUUCGUGAAACCGGAGCUAAUACCGGAUAAUAUAUUGAACCGCAUGGUUCAAUAGUGAAAGACGGUUUUGCUGUCACUUAUAGAUGGCUCCGCGCCGCAUUAGCUAGUUGGUAAGGUAACGGCUUACCAAGGCAACGAUGCGUAGCCGACCUGAGAGGGUGAUCGGCCACACUGGAACUGAGACACGGUCCAGAAUCCUACGGGAGGCAGCAGUAGGGAAUCUUCCGCAAUGGGCGAAAGCCUGACGGAGCAAAGCCGCGUGAGUGAUGAAGGUCUUCGGAUCGUAAAACUCUGUUAUUAGGGAAGAACAAAUGUGUAAGUAACUAUGCACGUCUUGACGGUACCUAAUCAGAAAGCCACGGCUAACUACGUG